This 90-nucleotide microRNA precursor is filed under the name Canis lupus dingo (dingo). Its description in RNAcentral is "mir-8799 microRNA precursor family". It matches the Rfam family "mir-8799 microRNA precursor family". The record is from Rfam by way of RNAcentral. Lineage: Eukaryota; Metazoa; Chordata; Mammalia; Carnivora; Canidae.
CGGGGGAGGCCGAUCCUGGGCUGUGUCCCCGGCGCCCUGUGCUCCCAGGUCUGCGCUGUUGGGUUCGCCCUCCAGGCCCCGCAGCCCCCU